Molecule: ribosomal RNA, 2247 nt
Filed under: human gut metagenome
Description: bacterial LSU rRNA
Rfam family: Bacterial large subunit ribosomal RNA
Source: RNAcentral
UUAAGUUACUAAGGGCGUACAGUGGAUGCCUUGGCACCGAAAGACGAUGAAGGACGCGACUACCUGCGAUAAUCCUCGGCGAGCUGGAAGUAAGCUUUGACCCGAGGGUCUCCGAAUGGGGAAACCCGAUGCGCGUUAUGGCGCACCACCUGACCGGCCAAUACAUAACCGGCAGGAGACAACCCUGGGAAUUGAAACAUCUAAGUACCAGGAGGAAAAGAAAGAGAAUUCGAUUCCGUCAGUAGCGGCGAGCGAAAGCGGAAGAGCCUAAACCACCUUGAGUGGGGUUCGGGAUCACAUCAGUAUAAGUAGACACAAGGAGAAUUACCUGGAAUGGUAAGCCAAAGAGGGUGAAAGCCCCGUACCUGUAAAAAUGCUACUUGUCGUGAUUUCCAGAGUACGGCGGGACACGUGAAAUCCUGUCGGAAUGUGCGGAGACCACUCCGUAAGGCUAAAUACUCUUCGGUGACCGAUAGUGAACCAGUACCGUGAGGGAAAGGUGAAAAGAACCCCGGGAGGGGAGUGAAAAGAAUCUGAAACCGUAUGCCUACAAAAAGUCAGAGGGCGUUAAAGCCUGAUGACGUGCCUAUUGAAGAAUGAGCCGGCGAGUUAUGAACACAUGCGAGGUUAAGGAGAAGAUCCGGAGCCGAAGCGAAAGCGAGUCUUAACAGGGCGACAGUAUGUGUUUGUAGACCCGAAACCCGACGAUCUAGCCAUGAUCAGGAUGAAGUAAGGGUAAAACCUUAUGGAGGUCCGAACCGACGUUCGUUGAAACGCCCGCGGAUGAAUUGUGGCUCGUGGUGAAAUUCCAAUCGAGUCGGGUAAUAGCUGGUUCUCCCCGAAAUAGCUUUAGGGCUAGCCUUGGGACAUUGUUUAGUGGGGGUAAAGCACUGAAUAUGAGCGAGCCGCGCCAAGCGGUAUCAAUCAUAAUCAAACUCUGAAUCCCAUUAGAUGUACCCCAGGAGUCAGACUACGGGAGAUAAGUUCCGUGGUCAAGAGGGCAACAGCCCAGACCGCCGAUUAAGGUCCCUAAAUUCACGCUAAGUGUCAAAGGAUGUAGAGAUACUCAAACAGCUAGGAUGUUGGCUCAGAGGCAGCCAUCAUUUAAAGAAUGCGUAACAGCUCACUAGUCAAGUGUCUCCGCGCCGAAAAUUUACCGGGGCUAAGCGUGAUACCGAAAUCGCGGAUGAAUCCUAAAAAUUCGUGGUAGGGGAGCGUUCUGUUUGCAGUGAAGCCAUAUCGUGAGGAGUGGUGGAGCGUACAGAAGCGAGAAUGCCGGCGUAAGUAACGAUAAAGGGUGAGAAUCCCUUUCACCAAUUGACUAAGGUUUCCUGGGCAAGGUUCGUCCUCCCAGGGUUAGUCGGGACCUAAGGCGAGGCCGACAGGCGUAGUCGAUGGACAGCAGGUUGAUAUUCCUGCACCCGAGCACGCAGUGAUGCAAUGACGAAAACGGCUAUGCUCACCUCCGAUCGGAAGUGGAGGGCAGAGCGUAGGAGUCGAUUCCUUGUUAAGUACGGGAAUCAUUAAGACAAAGACGUGCGGUAUGAAAGUCGCGAGACGAGUAAGAAACAGCAGACGCCGAUUUCCAAGAAAAGUUGCUAACGUUAAACGUGUUCGGCCCGUACCGAGAACGGACACACGUGGUCAAGGAGAAUAUCCUGAGGUGAGCGAGAUAACUGUUGUUAAGGAACUCUGCAAAAUAACUUCGUAAGUUAGCAAGAAGAAGUGCUCCAGCGAUGGAGCCGCAGCGAAUCGGCCCAAGUAACUGUUUACCAAAAACACAGCUCUAUGCUAAGUCGCAAGACGAUGUAUAUGGGGUGACGCCUGCCCGGUGCCGGAAGGUUAAAAGGAGAGGUUAGGAGCAAUCCGAAGCUUUGAAUUGAAGCCCCGGUGAACGGCGGCCGUAACUAUAACGGUCCUAAGGUAGCGAAAUUCCUUGUCAGGUAAGUUCUGACGUGCACGAAUGGUGUAAUAAUUUGGGCGCUGUCUCGACAGCAGACUCGGUGAAAUCUUAAUACCGGUGAAGAUGCCGGUUACCCGCGACUAGACGGAAAGACCCCAUGGAGCUUUACUAUAACUUAAUAUUGAGUAAAUGCGAAUCUUGUACAGUAUAGGUGGGAGACUUUGAAGUCGGGGCGUCAGCUUCGAUGGAGUCGCCGUUGGGAUACCACUCUGGAUUUGCAUUUAUUCUAACUCCUACCCUGGAUGGGCGGGAGGACAGUGUUAGGCGGGUAGUUUGGCUGGGGC